Molecule: ribosomal RNA, 1010 nt
Filed under: Thyridariella sp. VVS-2018a
Lineage: Eukaryota; Fungi; Ascomycota; Dothideomycetes; Pleosporales; Thyridariaceae
Description: SSU rRNA
Rfam family: Eukaryotic small subunit ribosomal RNA
Source: RNAcentral
UGAAACUGCGAAUGGCUCAUUAAAUCAGUUAUCGUUUAUUUGAUAGUACCUUACUACUUGGAUACCCGUGGUAAUUCUAGAGCUAAUACAUGCAAAAAACCCCGACUUCUGAAGGGGUGUAUUUAUUAGAUAAAAAACCAAUGCCCUUCGGGGCUCUUUGGUGAUUCAUGAUAACUUAACGGAUCGCAUGGCCUUGCGCCGGCGACGGUUCAUUCAAAUUUCUGCCCUAUCAACUUUCGAUGGUAAGGUAUUGGCUUACCAUGGUUUCAACGGGUAACGGAUUUUUAGGGAAAGAUCCCGGAGAGGGAGCCUGAGAAACGGCUACCACAUCCAAGGAAGGCAGCAGGCGCGCAAAUUACCCAAUCCUGAUACAGGGAGGUAGUGACAAUAAAUACUGAUACAGGGCUCUUUUGGGUCUUGUAAUCGGAAUGAGUACAAUUUAAAUACCUUAACGAGGAACAAUUGGAGGGCAAGUCUGGUGCCAGCAGCCGCGGUAAUUCCAGCUCCAAUAGCGUAUAUUAAAGUUGUUGCAGUUAAAAAGCUCGUAGUUGAACCUUGGGCCUGGCUGGCCGGUCCGCCUCACCGCGUGUACUGGUCCGGCCGGGCCUUUCCUUCUGGAGAACCGCAUGCCCUUCACUGGGUGUGCCGGGGAACCAGGACUUUUACUUUGAGAAAAUUAGAGUGUUCAAAGCAGGCCUUUGCUCGAAUACGUUAGCAUGGAAUAAUAGAAUAGGACGUGCGGUCCUAUUUUGUUGGUUUCUAGAACCGCCGUAAUGAUUAAUAGGGAUAGUCCGGGGCGUCAGUAUUCAAUUGUCAGAGGUGAAAUUCUUGGAUCUAUUGAAGACUAACUACUGCGAAAGCAUUCGCCAAGGAUGUUUUCAUUAAUCAGUGAACGAAAGUUAGGGGAUCGAAGACAAUCAGAUACCGUCGUAGUCUUAACCGUAAACUAUGCCGACUAGGGAUCGGGCGAUGUUUCUUUCUUGACUCGCUCGGCACCUUACAAGAAAUCA